RNAcentral lists this transfer RNA (71 nucleotides) under Myotis lucifugus (little brown bat). It matches the Rfam family "tRNA". Rfam says of the family: Transfer RNA (tRNA) molecules are approximately 80 nucleotides in length. Their secondary structure includes four short double-helical elements and three loops (D, anti-codon, and T loops). The record is from Rfam by way of RNAcentral. Lineage: Eukaryota; Metazoa; Chordata; Mammalia; Chiroptera; Vespertilionidae.
GCCAUCAUGGCUUAGUGGUUGAGCAUUGACCUAUGAACCAGGAGGUCAGGGUUCAAUUCCCGGUCAAGGCA